GAUGAACGCUGGCGGCGUGCUUAACACAUGCAAGUCGAACGGUGAAGCAGAGCUUGCUCUGUGGAUCAGUGGCGAACGGGUGAGUAACACGUGAGCAAUCUGCCCCUGACUCUGGGAUAAGCGCUGGAAACGGCGUCUAAUACCGGAUACGAGGCGUGGGGGCAUCCCCAACGCCUGGAAAGAACUUCGGUCCAGGAUGAGCUCGCGGCCUAUCAGGUAGUUGGUGAGGGAACGGCUCACCAAGCCUACGACGGGUAGCCGGCCUGAGAGGGUGACCGGCGACACUGGGACUGAGACACGGCCCAGACUCCUACGGGAGGCAGCAGUGGGGAAUAUUGCACAAUGGGCGCAAGCCUGAUGCAACAACGCCGCGUGAGGGACGACGGCCUUCGGGUUGUAAACCUCUUUUAGCAGGGAAGAAGCGAAAGUGACGGUACCUGCAGAAAAAGCACCGGCUAACUACGUGCCAGCAGCCGCCGUAA
Molecule: ribosomal RNA, 482 nt
Filed under: uncultured bacterium
Lineage: Bacteria
Description: partial 16S ribosomal RNA
Rfam family: Bacterial small subunit ribosomal RNA
Source: RNAcentral